This 72-nucleotide transfer RNA is filed under the name Camelus bactrianus (Bactrian camel). It matches the Rfam family "tRNA". From Rfam's summary of the family: Transfer RNA (tRNA) molecules are approximately 80 nucleotides in length. Their secondary structure includes four short double-helical elements and three loops (D, anti-codon, and T loops). The record is from Rfam by way of RNAcentral. Lineage: Eukaryota; Metazoa; Chordata; Mammalia; Artiodactyla; Camelidae. RNAcentral also lists the same sequence under 3 other names.
GGGGGUAUAGCUCUGUGGUAGAGUGUUUGCUUAGCAUGCAUGAGGUCCUGGGUUCAAUCCCCAGUACCUCCA